Molecule: RNA transcript, 2696 nt
Organism: Ictalurus punctatus (channel catfish)
Lineage: Eukaryota; Metazoa; Chordata; Actinopteri; Siluriformes; Ictaluridae
Gene: kif2c
Gene name: kinesin family member 2C
Exons: 20
Source: RefSeq, a predicted model, not a curated record
UUUCAAGCCCUGCUACACAUCCUGGUCCUGCAUGUUCACACAACUUAAAUUGCCUGCAGCUUGACUCAUACAGCAGCUUUAAUAAGAAUUAGGCUGCAGCUCGUUACUCCUCCUUCGUACUUCCGGUUAGAUGAACAACUUCCGCUGACGUAUUUUGAAAGCUUGGCGGUUGAGAAGUUGUUGUUUUUUUGUAACGUGCGUGUUGUUUAGCGCUGGCCGACGGAUUGUGGUUUAUUUAUUAUUUUUAAAAAGCUUGAGUUUAUAUUAAAUAAGGGGGGAAAGAUGGACCCAGCAACUGUGACGCUUCUCGUUGGACUCGCUGUUAAAAUUAGCCGCAGUGACGGAAGAGUUCACAACGCAACAGUGAAAACAGUCAAUACUACCAAGUCGACUGUGCAUGUGGAGUGGAACGAGAAAGAAGUGAAUAAAGGAAAAGAGAUUGACCUGAGUGAGAUCUGUCGUCUCAAUGCGGACCUGGUUGAAUACCUGCAGUCAUCGAAUCAAGCAGGACCUUCCUCUGCGCCAGCCCUGAACCCUGCACGGGCACCUAAAGCAGAGAAGAAAUCGGAGCACCCUACGAAGGUGUCAAAGAUACCUGCCCCUUCAGAGUUCCCCAGAAGGAUGACCACUCGCCAGACGUGUCUGUUUCGACCACCAACCGUUCCAUCCACUAGCUUGACUCCUGCUGAUGAUGCUCCCAGUCAGGAGCAGCCCUCAUCCACUAUUCCUAGAUCUUCAGGGUUACCAAGUUAUACGAGAAAACAACUUUCUAAACCCCCUUCUCCUCUUCUACCUGCUAUUGAAGCCGUGUCAGAAAGUGAGGCCUCAAAGUGUGCUCCUGCACCCACUGCAAACCCUCGCCUUUCACGAGUUCCAGAAGUACAUAAAACGACAACCAAAAGGCUGUCCGUGUCGACUAAAAACCCGGAAGCCCAGACCAAGAAAGGAAAGUUCGGAGAUCUGAAUCGUCCCAACAAGCAGUUUUACCUGAUGAUCGAAGAGUAUCGGGAGACUGUAGAGAAAGUUCCGCUGUCUUUGAGCGAUCCUGUUGAGCUUCACAGAAUCUGUGUGUGUGUUCGCAAGCGGCCACUAAAUAAAAAAGAAAUGGCUAAGAAAGAGAUUGACGUGGUGACGAUCCCUGGAAACGGAGUCCUCCUGUUCCAUGAACCCAAGCAGAAAGUCGAUCUCACCAAGUACCUUGACAACCAGCCCUUCCACUUUGAUUACUCGUUUGACGAAGAUGCCAGCAACGACUUGGUUUACAGGUUCACUGCCAGGCCUCUGGUUAAGACUAUUUUUGAGGGUGGAAGGGCAACAUGCUUUGCAUAUGGUCAAACUGGGAGUGGAAAGACGCAUACGAUGGGCGGAGACUUCUCAGGAAAGGCUCAAAACAGCUCUAAAGGAAUCUAUGCCUUGGCAGCACAGGAUGUGUUUACCCUUCUGCAGCAGAAGAGAUAUGCUGACCUGUGCCCAUACGUGACCUUUUUUGAGAUCUACAAUGGCAAGGUCUUUGACUUGCUGAAUAAGAAGGCAAAACUGCGCGUGCUAGAGGAUGAAAACCAGCAGGUGCAGGUCGUUGGCCUUCAGGAAAUGCCUGUCUCGUCUGUUGAAGAUGUUAUAAAGAUGAUUGAGAAGGGGAGUGCAUGCAGAACAUCUGGCCAGACGUUUGCCAACGCCAACUCGUCCCGUUCCCAUGCCAUCCUGCAGGUUAUCUUGAGGCGGCACAAGCUGCUUCAUGGUAAGUUCUCUCUGGUGGACCUGGCAGGGAACGAGCGGGGCACAGAUGUCAGCAGCAAUGACCGGCAGACUAUGAUUGAGACCGCCGAGAUCAAUCGCAGUCUUCUAGCACUGAAGGAAUGCAUCCGAUCCCUGGGGCAGAACAGUGAACACAUCCCUUUCCGGAUGAGUAAGCUCACCCAGGUGCUCCGAGACUCCUUCAUAGGCGAGAACUCCAGAACCUGCAUGAUUGCUAUGAUCUCACCUGGUAUGACCUCUUGUGAUUACACUCUGAACACGCUGCGUUAUGCAGACAGGGUGAAAGAGUUGAAUGGAUUGUCUAAGGGAGCUGCGCCGAACACUAAGCUGACAGAGGAGUCCGAGGAGGGCAGCAGUUUCUUAGAGGAGGCGAGUGAAGCUUUGCAGAGCCUCACGUGUACAGAGUAGAGGCGUUCACAUCUUUCAGAUAAACUUCUAGAAAAGCCCUUAUGUCUGAAAUCAUGUGCGCUUUUUGAGUAAAACAUGACUUUUAUUCACGUUUUGUUUCUGACCACUUACCAUUCAGGAAGGUAUUCCUGCUGAACUUGAAGUCAUGGCCCAGGUCUCUGAGCUGGAGGAGAAGUUCUAUGAAGUUCUGCAGGGUGCCAACGAAAUUGCCCGAGCGAUGGAGCACCCGUCAUAUGACCUUGUGAGCGGUCUACCGGAGAUCGACGCAUACAUGGAGAGAAUUCAAGGAACUUUCCAUGCUCUGCGAUCAGCUGUUGAGGUGCUAAAAGCCAAGUCACCCAAUCUGGCAUGACCUGCAAAUGGGGUGGAAAAACCAAAUCAAAUAAUUUGGUUCUGAUGCUGACUGCUAAUGUCCUGUGUUCAGCAUGUUCUCUCUUUUGGUUUAAUUCCAGUUUGUUUGGAUGUUUAUACGUGUCGUGUUCUCGUAUUAUCAACCUUCUUAUUCACUGAAUAAAUGUUUACCUAUGACCGGU